AACACAUAUACAUAUAAUGUCAUUCAAGAAUAUCAGGCAAAGCGGAAUUGGAAUCUGAAUAUAGGUAAACAAACACCGCUGUAUACUAUAAAUAGUUCUUAAUUUAAAUCCAAGUGAAAUGGCAAUUAAUGUUAAUUAUACAGGCAAUUAAGAAGAUUGCAUUGCAUGAGGUUAUGGAAACACUGAUGCGAUGUAAAUCAAAUUUUCAAAAAAGAUAUGUGCGUAGAAUAGUUCAAUAGUUCUUGUAUUAUUAUUAUCAACAGCAUCAGAUAGUAAUUAACUAAUUAAUUAUUAAGGGGUAAUUAUUUGUCCUACCUUGGACGCUUUUCUUCAUCUGUUUUUCAUCUGUGCUUCAAUUAGGUAAUCCAAAUGAUCUAAAGGGCACUUAUUUAACACACACACACACAACACUAGGCUGAUGUUAUCCGAUAAGCACUAAGUUGUUAAUUAUCCGGUAAAUUAUUAACUCCGUAACUAAUGAUCCAAUAUGCACAAAUUUUUCAGCGUUUGUUCAGGAUGAGGAUUGAUGACGAUUGCCGCAGUUUCCAAGUAAGUAAUCCAAUUAGUCGCUGAAUUAGUACUCCAGGAUAAUUACUCCAAUCUGUAGAAAAUACACUGAAUUUAUCGGCGAAAAGCGCUAAGUUCUUAAUUAUCCGAUAAAUUAAUAUCUCCGGAACUAAUGAACCGAAUCACACGAAUUUUUCAGCAUAUGUUUAGAAUGAGAAUUGAUGACGAUUGCCGUUGUUUCCAAGUUGAUGCUUCAAUUAGUCACAGAAUUAGUACUCCAGGAUAAUUGCUCCAGUCUAAAGAAAAAAUUCGUUAGUCGAUGUCCUUGAGCUACUUCCUGUAGUCCGUGGGGUCGGGGAAUUCUUCUAACUGUCGAAAACGACGCUGGCGUUGAAAACUCCGUUAUGAAUAUUAUUUAAAAAUUCAUUAAAAAUCAACCACUGCUGCUAUCUUCUUGAAACUUAUGGCAAAUUGAAGAUAAAAAUAUCCUCUUUCUGAUGAUGUAAGUUUUGUCCCGCGUCGGCGUCCGGCGGGCACUGCAGGGGCCACGGAAGCUGCUUGCACGUGGCAAAAUGGCUUGCUCCUAUGUUAAAAAUUUUGUAACUUUAUAAAUAAUUCAAAAAUUGUCGUAGCGACAUAAAUUUGGAUUCUAUGGCUUCCUAUCGAUGUUAGCUAUUCACUGCAACAAGUUUGGGAGAGAUACGUAGGAUAUUUCCGCAGAUGCAGGCGUAGAAAGCGGAGCGACGAAAACACGACCUUCUUCUGUGGUUGCUCUGGUUGCUCUGGUUGCUCUAGACAGCAGGACGGUGGCCAUGGAAGUCGGAAUCCGCUAAGGAGUGUGUAACAACUCACCUGCCGAAGCAACUAGCCCUGAAAAUGGAUGGCGCUCCAGCGUCGAGCCCAUACCCGGCCGCUACGGCAGAGCUCCGCCUCGCGGAGACUUAAGUCGUAGUGAGUAGGAGGGUCGCAGCGGUGUGCGUCGAAGGUGCCCGGCGUGAGCCCGCCUGGAGCCGCCGCUGGUGCAGAUCUUGGUGGUAGCAAAUACUCAAGUGAGAAUCUUGAGGACUGAAGGUGGAGAAGGGUUCCAUGUGAACAGCAGUUGAACAUGGGUCAGUCGGUCCUAAGCGAUCGGAGAAAUCCGUUCCGAAGGGGGACGUUAAGAGCAUAGAAUUUGCAAGUUUGUCCCCCUGUCGACCGAAAGGGAAUGGGGUUAAUAUUCCCCAACCUGGACACGGAGAUUGUGGAGCUUCGGCUCCAAAUGCGGUAACGCAACCGAACUCGGAGACGUCGACGGGAGACCCGGGGAAGAGUUAUCUUUUCUUUGUAAGAACUCGUGUCCCUGGAAUCGGAUCAUCCGGAGAUAGGGAUGGUGAGUUCGUAAAAGCACCGCGGCUCUUGCGGUGUCCGGUACGCUCCUGUCGACCCUUGCAAAUCCGAGGGAGAGAUUAUGAUUUUCGUGCCAGACCGUACCCAUAUCCGCAGCAGGUCUCCAAGGUGAACAGCCUCUAGUCGAUAGAACAAUGUAGGUAAGGGAAGUCGGCAAGUUCGAUCCGUAACUUCGGGACAAGGAUUGGCUCUGAGGACUGGGCCCGUCGGGCUGGGGUCCGAAGCGGGUGUGGCACUGCACCGGGACUGGGCGAGACGCCGUGAAAGCGGUCCGGUCCGGCCCGGACCAGCUUCGGGGCCUUCCCGUGGAAUGCCUCAGCUGCGCGGCGAAUCGGGCACAAAGCUCGGAGCGACCGUUUCGGCAGACAACUAACAGCCGACUCAGAACUGGCACGGACUAAGGGAAUCCGACUGUCUAAUUAAAACAAAGCAUUGCGAUGGCCGGUGACCAGUGGUGACGCAAUGUGAUUUCUGCCCAGUGCUCUGAAUGUCAAAGUGAAGAAAUUCAUCCAAGCGCGGGUAAACGGCGGGAGUAACUAUGACUCUCUUACUGGAUUACGGGUAUCCAGAUGCGAACUAACACCUAUCCAACACAAGUCUUGUCACGAGGUCGGGAGGAGGGAGACGUGAGCUGUCGACUUUGUCGAUUUCCUCAUGAAACCCUUCACCAUCUCUUAGGUGCUUGU
This is a non-coding RNA of Stegodyphus mimosarum, 2579 nucleotides long. The record is from Rfam. NCBI's taxonomy places the organism in Eukaryota, Metazoa, Arthropoda, Arachnida, Araneae, Eresidae.